This 1849-nucleotide long non-coding RNA is filed under the name Haliotis rufescens (red abalone). RNAcentral describes it as "uncharacterized LOC124113575". The record is from RNAcentral. Lineage: Eukaryota; Metazoa; Mollusca; Gastropoda; Lepetellida; Haliotidae.
CUUUACAUGCACUUGUGAGUCAUAUCAGUGAGAGAGAGAGCUCCUUCCGUGUGCGAAGGUUGGAUAAGACGAAAGGACGUCACUUGGACAUCAAGUUCAGUUUUAUGUGUUGUAGGAGUUGAAUGUAUACUGAUUGUAAAGAACAGGGGAUUGAUUCGAAUUGACGUACGGUUCGGUCUACAGACGAACAACGAAUCUCCAAUACAAAGGGAGCUCACCAAUAGAAAGUGACAGACUGGAGACUAUGGCUCAUGCUCUAGGGGGUAGAGUGCAUACAGUUUACAUCUGGAUGCCACAAGAGGGCUCUUUCGGCCAUUCAUCCUUACAGCUGAGUAACGGCGAAUAUGUCAGCUGGUGGCCAUGCGGAGGGAAAACAAAAUCAGUUAUAGGAAAGAAGAUAUCCUCUUCGAGCGAAAAUCUUAUUGAGGACGUUGUUAAGAUGGAGCGUCAACCGACUUAUACCUUCCCAAUACCUGCAGACGAUUUGGAUGAAGAAAAAAUGAAGGAAGAGUGGCACGGUUGGUUUAUUACAGGCCAUUACAAUGUUUUUGGUGCAAAUUGUUGCUGGGUUGUCUACAAGAUCCUUCGUGCAGGUGGGGCACCGAUCAGUGCAACCAUAAUAUGGAGACCAGAGAGUUUGCGUCGUUACUUGGCUAUUUACCUGCGGGGUGGAUGGAUAAUUACAACAUUUUUCAAUUUACCUUUUUUUGCUUGAUGGUCUUAGACAUGAGGUAUAUGAAUAUCCUGUCAGGUGUCAGCUUGAAUGGUCAGAUUAUCGACCUGAAAUCUAACCUUAGUGAUUUUCAAUAACUCACGAGUGUACUCAAGACGAACAUCAUUUGUCAUAAUAUAGAUUUAUUGUGAAAUGUGUUUUGGGGUGAAAAAAGUAACGCCUCUAGUUGACUUUUAAACUGCUAUUCAUUUCUGAUGGGGGACUGAAAGCUACAUGACAGUAAAACAACCCAGACGCUGGAGAUGAAAAUUAUAUUUUUACGAGAAAUCAAAAGGGGUCUAUAUUUAGUUCGAUUAAGGUUAUAACCUCAUCACAGUCAGUUUGGCCUUUGAGUAUAUUACACGGAAUACUAAAAAAACGCUUAGCUACCUUCCUGUUAUAGUAACUAACUUUAACUCCCGGACAAACUGUCACCAGAAACAAGCUUCACGUUUGUUAUUCGCAUGGUGAUCUCCAGUAAACUAAGCUUAUUACUAACACGUUUAUAAGGAACUGUUUUUUGGUCCCGCCAAUUUGUUGUAUAUAUGCUUAUAUGGAACAGCGGUUAUAAUGAACUAAAUGUAUGGCCCCUUUACGUUCGUUAUGACCGUAGCUCAAAAAAUGUUAUGUCGGAUUCAAGAAGAGGUCAAGGCCUGUAAGAAAUUUCUUGCCAUUCGUGAGUGCACUUGCACUAUAAGUAUACCGGUUACUUAUUGCACCUGCAGCUUACUUCAUCCAUUGUGUUGACUUUUGUACACCGACAACUGUGUGUUUCAAUAUUAUCCAUCGAUUAUUUAUUGAUCAUUUACUGAUUUCACAACGAAGCCCUGUACGUUAUUAUAUGUCUUUGUUAACCUUUGCGUUUCAUUUACAAAAAAACGGCUUGUAACACUAUAAACCAUCGAUGUCAUAAUGCUGUCUGAAAGUUUUUCCCUGAAAUGAUAUAUACCCCAACUUGAAAAGUGUCCAUUUAAUUCCGUACAAGAGUGCUGUUGUUGCCUACUUUUUGUGUCACGUUCACUGUCAUGCAGUUCUUUUUUAUCCAAUAGUUCGAUAAUAUUGUAUUUCGCAUAUUUUAUUUCAGCUUUACGUGUCGACUUCUUGAAUUUUUAAAAAUAAAAAUAUCUUGUUCUUUUA